This 2931-nucleotide long non-coding RNA is filed under the name Homo sapiens (human). The record is from RNAcentral. Lineage: Eukaryota; Metazoa; Chordata; Mammalia; Primates; Hominidae.
GAAUUAGAUUGUUAAAUAUUAUUAUUUAAAUUUUUUGUUGUAGUUGCAGUUUUUGAGACCAGGUCUUGCUCUGUUGCUUGGGCUGGAGUGCAGUGUUGCGAUUAUGGCUCACUGCAGCCAUGAACUCCUGGACUCAAGUGAUCAUCCCACCUCAGCCUCUGAGUAGCUGGGACUACAGGUGCACAUCACCACAUCUGGCUAAUUUGGUGGGGGGGUGGCUAGAUACGGGGUCUUUCUUUAUUACCCAGGCUGGUCUCAAACUUCUGACCUCAAGCAAUCCUCCUACCUCAGCCUCCCAAAGUGGUAGGGCUUGAGUCACCAUGCCCAGCCAAAUUGUUCAAUAUCCAAGACAACCACUAAGAAAAUAACUAAAAGAAAAGAAAAGAAGGGAAUCAAAAGAAAAAAAGAGAAUCAAAAUGGGGCACUAGAAAAUAUUUAACACAAUAGAAGGCAAUAAUGAAGGAGUUGAGGAACAAAAAAACAAAAAUAUAUAAUGCAUAUAAAAAAUAGCAAAAUGGGAAUAAAUCCUUAUCAGUAAUUACAUUAACUGUAAAUGGAUUGAAUUAUCCAAUUGAAAGGCAGAGAUUAGUAGAAUUGAUUUUUUUUAAAAAAAACAUGAUCCAGUGCUCACUUCAGCAGCACAUAUACUAAAAUUGGAAUGAUACAGAGAAGAUUAGCGUGGCCCCUGUGCAAGGUUGACAUGCAAAUUUGUGAAGCUUUCCAUUAUAAAAUUAAAAAAUUAAAAAAAAACCCCACAUGAUCCAACUAUAUAUGCUGUCUACAAGAGCUUCGCUUUAGCUCAAAUGACCCAAAUUGUUGAAAGUGAAAGGAUGGAAGAUAUUCCAGGCUAGGGGCAGUGACUCACGCCUGUAAUUCCAGCCCUUUGGUAGGCUGAAGUGGGAGGAUUUCUUGAGGCCAGGAGUUCAAGACCAGCUUGGGCAACGAAGUUAUGCUAUCUACUAAAACAAACAAACAAACAAAAAAACCUGGUAUGGUGGCACACACCUGUAGUCCCAGCUACUCAGGAAGCUAAGGUGGGAGGAUGGAUCCCUUCGGCCCAGGAGUUUGAGGCUGCAGCCACUGCACUCCAGCUUGAGUGACAAGGGACUCUGUAUUUAAAUACUACAUAUAUUCCAUGAAAACUAACAAAAAGAGGGCUGGAGUGGAUAUCCUAAUAUUAUAAAAAAUAGACCUCAAGGCAAAAAUUGUUACAAGGGACAAAGAGAAACAUUUUGUAAUGAUAAAAGGUUCAAUUCAUCAAGAAGAUAUAACAAUUAUAUAUUUCACCUAACAGGAGAGUCCUCAAAGUAUUUGAAGCAAAAAUGGACAGAAUUCAAAGUAGAAACAGGCCAGCAAGAAUAGCUGGAAAUAUCGGCUGAGCACAGUGGCUCAUGCUUCUAAUCCCAGCACUUUGGGAGGCCGAGGUGGGCAGAUCACCUGAGGUCAGGAAUUCAAAACCAGUCUGCCCAACAUGGUAAAACCCUGUCUCUACUAAAAAUACAAAAUUUAGCUGGGCAUGGCAGUGUGUGCCUGUAAUCCCAGCUAUUUGGGAGGCUGAGGCAGGAGGAUGGCUUGAACCUGGGAGGUGGAGGUUGCGGUGAGCCAAGAUUGUGCUACUGCUCUCCAGCCUGGUAACAGAGCAAGACUCUGUCUCAAAAAAUAAAAAAAAGUAAUAAAUAAAUAAAUAAAUAAAUAAAAAGAAUAGUUGGAAACGUCAAUACUUCACUUUCAAUAAUGGCUAGAACUACACACUAGAUAAGGACAUAGAAGACUUGAACAGUGCUAACUCUACCCAACCAUAGCAGAAUAUACAUUCUUCUCAAAGUACACAUAAAACAUUCCCCAGGAUAGACCAUAUGUUAGACCACAAAAUAAGUCUUAAUAAAUUUUAAAGAAUUGAAAUCAUAUGAAUUAUCUUUCCAACCACAAAGGAAUGAAAUUAGAAAUAACAGAAUUAAAAGUGAAAAAUUCACAAAUAUGUGGGAAUUAAGCAACACACUCUUAACUGCCCCACGGAUCAAAGAAAAAAUCACAAGAGAAAUUAGAUGAGAUGAAUGAAAAUGAAAAUACAGCAUACCAAAACUUAUCGAAUACAGCAAAAGCAGUACUCAAAGGGAAAUUUAUAGCUGUAAAAACCUACAUCAAAGAGAAGAAAGAUCUCCAAUUAAUAACCUAAACUUCCAAUUUAAGGAACUAGAAAAAGUAGAAUAAACUAAACCCAAAGCAAGCAAAAGAAAGAAUAAAAAUUAAGAGUGGAGAUAAAUGAAAUAGAAAAGAGAAAAACAACAGAAAGAAUCAAUGAAAACAAAAGUUGAUUCUUCAAAAAGAUCAAGAAAAUUGAUGAAACUUUAGACUGACCAAAAAAAAAAAAAGAAGACUCAAAUUACUAAAGUUAGGAAUAAGGCUGGAGUGGCUCACGCCUGUAAUCUGAGCACUUUUGGAGGCCAGUGCGGGGGAAUUGUUUGAGCUCAGGAGUUCAAGACCGGCUUGGGCAACAUAAGGAAACCUUGUCUCUGCUAAAAAUAAAAUAUUAAAAAAUUAGCCAGGUGUGGUGGCACAUGUCUGUAGUCCCAGUUAUUUGAGAGGCUGAGGCAGGAGGAUUACUUGAGCCCAGGAGAUUGAGGCUGCAGUGAACUAUGAUCUUGCCACUGCACUCCAGCCUGGGCAACAGGGUGAGACUCUGUCUCAAAAAAAAAAAAAGGAACGAAAGUAGAAAAAUUACUACUAGCUGGACAUGGUGUCUCGUGCCUGUAGUCCUAGCUACUGGGGAGGUUGAGGCAGGAGGAUUGCCUUGAGCCCAGGAGUUCAAAGCUGCAGUGAGCUAUGAUCGUACCACUUCUCUCCAUCCUGGGUGAUAGAGCAAGAUGCUGUCUCUAAAGUAAAUACAUAGGCUGGGUGCAGUAGCUCACGCCUGUAAUCCCAGCACUUUGG